AACUUCUCCAGACUCACGUGACCUGGAAGGUGCUUUUCUCCGCCUCUUUCCUCUAGCGAGCUGUGAGUUUAUCUCCAUCUUAGUUCCAGGCCAUUUCUUUGGAUGCUGACUUGAAUUUCUCCCAUUCUUUAAAUGGGGAAAUGCGGGGGAAGGGCCUUGCCCGACUGUUGUGUAGGGGAAUAUGGUCGGGCGGUGCCUCUUAUUAGAGAAGGAUCAUCUUUGGCUUUGGAAGGGAUAUGGUGUAAAGACCUGGUUGUUCCGUGGAGAUAAUCGCAUAUAUGUCUUCAUGUUUGCCAGGUUUAUUAAGGAUCAUUAGAAAUCAAGGAAUAAAGAGGAUACCAAAUAAAAGCCACGUGCCCAUGGCUGGUUAGCCAUUUUCAAAUUUUCCUCACCUUACCACAUCACUGCUCAUGCUACAUCAUUCAAGAAGAGAAAGCAUGGGAGUCCAAAUCUAUCCUAAUACUGCACAGCACUACCAGUGUUCCAGAGCUUGAGAAAUAUUUGUCUUUGUGCUGUCAUCCCAGAAGAACCUGGGCCAGAUGGAACAAGAAUUUAAUUCCAAAGACCAUCAAUGAAGCUCCUUUGUAUCCUAAUGGGAUUUAAUGGGAUUUAAGAUUUAAGGUUUGUGGAAACAAAGAACUGGAAACUGAGGGUAUGUUCAUCAAUUGGGAAAUAUCUGAGCAAGUUGUAUUUUGUGAUUGUAAUGAAAUAGUACUGUGCUAUAAGAAAUGAUGAGAAAGAUGAUUUAAGAAAAACCUGGAAAGACCUAUAUAAACUAAUGCAAAGUGAAGUGAGAAGAACCAGGAGAAUAAUGUAUACAGUAACAGCAAUAUUAUAUAAUGAACAUUUAUGAAUAACUUAGCUGUUCUUGGCAAUGCAGUGAUCCAAGAAAAUCCUCAAAGACUCAUGAUAAAAAAAUGCCAUCUAUCUGCAAAGAAUGAACUGAUAGAAUCUGAAUGCAAGCUGAGACAUACUAUAUUUUAUUUUAUUGCUACACUUUUACUGGUUGAGUUCUCUUUCACAAAAUAUGGAAUAUGGAAAGCUGUGUUAACAGUAUUAGAUAUGUAAAAUUGAUAUCAAAAUUCUUGCCAUCUUAAGGAGGGGAGAAGUAAGGGAAGGAGAGCAGUGUAAUGGUUAAAAUUAUGGUUGAGACUGAAUGUAAUAAUUAUUUUGAUCACCAAGAAUCUUAUUUAUAAAAUCCUAAUGAAACACCCAAGUCAGCUGGAAAUUUUAUGGUGAUUUAAUUGAUAGUGGAGGAGAUUAAGGAGAAAGAAGAAGGAAAGGAGUAGGUUUUCUCCCCUCCCCCUCCCCCCCACCUGACUAGUACCGAGUGGUGAGUUUGGGAGAUAAGGUUUUGGAGUAUGAAGGAGGGAGGAGUCAGCUUGAACUCCAAAAAGGAAAGGGCUACUCCAAAAUUGUCAGAACGCCUAGCAAGCUUCCAGCCAGAGUUGCCUCUCCAGGGAAAGAGGAAGAGAGAGGAAGUGAUGUGCCUUAUAUAGACAGUUUUACAUCACUUUCCUGUGUCUCAUCUGUACCAAUGAUAGCUUAGCUUGACUUAGGAUAGCCCAGGGGUCUGUCCGCUUUUUCUGCAUAUGUCUGUUGAAGGCCAUUUCCUCAGAUAAUUAAAUCUUGAGUUUGGGGUACAGACCUUCCUAAUCUUGUUAAACUUAGGAGGGUGGAGAAAUGCAGGGUUCCCAAGACCUGAUUCUGUUAGUCCAAGUAUCUCUAUUGUUAUUGAUUAGGAAAUAGCUAAAUCAGAUCUUCUAAAGUAUGGUCUGAUUAGGGUGGAAUAGUUUUAAAAUUCACAGAAGGUGAAAAUUUGGCUCAAACCUUUAAAAAAUGAAAUAUAAAAAAAAUCAUGUUUUCACAUAACUGAAGAAAAAAAAAGAUUUAGAGCUAGAAGGAUCCUAAAGUUUCCUUCUGCUCUAGCUUCAGCCACCAUUACUACUAUGACUGGGAUAGGGCAGUCCAUCGCCAUUUCAUAGAAGAAACUCAGACUCAGAGAGGGGACUUGUCCAAGACCGAAAAUUACUGUCAGAGCUGGGAUUCGAGGCCAGAUUUCAUUCCAAAUCUUAGAGUUUGUCAGUAAGCAUUUCUUUUUUUUUAAUUUAAAUUAAUUAUUUUUUAAACCCUUACCUUCCAUCUUGGAAUCAAUACUGUCUAUUGGUUCCAAGGCAGAAGAGUGAUAAGGGCUAGGAAAUGGGAGUCAAGUGACUUGCCCAGGGUCAUAUAGCUGGGAAGUGUCUGAGGUCAGAUCUGAAACUAGGACCUCCCAUCUCUAGGCCUGGCUCUCAGUCCACUUAGCUAUCCAAUUGCCCCUAAGUAUUUCUUAAGUGCCAAAAAUACUGUGCUAAACAAACACUGAGACUACAAAAAAGGCCAAAGAUAAUCCAGUACAGGAGCUCAUUGUCUAUUUAAUAAGAGAGGCAAAAUAUGUACCAGCAAGGAUAAAUAGAAAAUAACUAACAGAAUGAAAAUAUUAAGAGCAAUUGGGAAGGACUUCAUAUAGCAGUUAGCAUUUUACUUGGGACUAAAGGGAGGGCAGAAGAUAAAGAAGGAGAGUAUUCCAGUCCUGGGGAACAGCCAGAGAAAAUGCCUGGAACUUAGAGAUAGAAUGUCUUAUUCAUGGAGAAGCAAGGAAACUAAUGUCACUCAAUCAAAAAAAUAUGUGAUAAGGACUAUAAGAAGAUUGGAAAUAUGGGUGGAGUAGGGAAUGGGACCUACAUUUAGCAAGGUUUCAUUGCCAAAGGAUUUUGUAUUUGUUCUUGGAGGUAAUAAAGAAUCAGUGGUGUUUAAGAAAAGAUACUUUGCUGGAGGAUGGCUUAAAGUAGGGAGAGACUUUUGUAUUAUACUCUUAAAUUUUUUUUAAUUUAAAAAAUUUUCAAUUAUUUUUAAAAAUUUAGAAUAUUUUUUCAUGGUUACAUGAUUCAUGAUUUUCCCCCACUCCUCUUCCCACCCCACUCUAGGAGUUGACAAGCAAUUCCACUGGGUUAUACAUGUAUCAUUCUUUAAAACCUAUUUCCAUGUUAUUUAUAUUUGCAAUAGAAUGCUCUUUUAACAUCAAAACCCUAAUCAUUCCACACUGAACUAUGUGAUCAGUCAUAUGUUUUUCUUAUGCAUUUCUGUUCCACAAUUCUUUCUCUGGAUGUGGAUAGUGUUCUUUUUCUAAGUUCCUCUGGAUUGUACUGGAUCAUUGCAUUGCUGCUAGUAGAGGCCCUGUGUACAAUGUUCUCCUGGUUCUGCACCUUUUGAUCUGUAACAAUUCCUGGAGGUCUUUCCAGUUCACCUAGAAAUACUCCAGUUCAUCAUUCCUUUCAGCACAAUAGUGUUCCAUCACCAAUAUAUACCACAAUUUGUUCAGCCAUUCCCCAAUCAAUGGGUACCUCCUCAUUUUCCAAUUUUUUGCCACCACAAAGAAUGUGGCUAUAAAUAUUUUUGAACAAGUAUUUUUCCUUAUGAUCUCUUUGGGUGUAUUAUACUCUUUAUCUUAGAUUUAGAUUCAGUCAUUGAUUCUCACCUUUAACUCAACAUCCCCUUAUCAUGACUGAACUUGACCCAACUGCUAUGUUUAAAGAUAUUUAUACAGAUGCCUGGUGGAGAGUGGAUAAAGUGGCCAUCACCAUUUCCACUGUCACAUCCUUUGUCCUGAGUGGAAAUAUAGGCAAUGUGCACAGGGCAUUAAGAUCCCAGGCAUAUCUGCCCAGCUGGAAAGAAGAAACAAAAAGAAGAAUCUAGAGUCACUCAGAAUCAAAUAUAUGGUCUCAGUUUCCUUUUUGACACCACUGGACUUUUAACCUCAGUACUGAAUUUUGUCCUUGACUUCAUGAUAGAGUAUAUGUGAAGCAGGAGGACUUCUCUCUGGAAUGGAGGAAUAGGAGGCAGAGUCAAGAUGGCAGCGUAGAGGCAGCAAAAGUUCAGACCUCUGAAAACUCUUCCUUACCAAUUACAAACUAAAUGCUCCUAGGGGACUGAAAAUCAAACCUAACAAUAAGACAGAGCCAAGGAACCCUUCUGCUGGACUCAACUUAAAAGGUACACCACCAAAAGCCAGAAUUCGAGAACACUCCAGUUUAAGGGGAAGGAAAAAGGAAAGUCCUGAGACCCUUCCCCCACCUAGAGUGCUAAGCCUCCAGUGGCAGCUGGAACCUCUGGGCUGGCAAAGGCACUGGUCCAGAGGGAGUACCUUGCAGGCAAAGCUGUGCCAGGUUCAGAGCAUCCAACACAGGUAGUGGGGAAGCAGUUAGAGAAGAAAUGCAGAGCAAGCAGCCUAAUUGUAGCAGGGGAGACACUCCAUAUCGCACCCCCCUUCCCGAGGUUUUGGCCUUAGGGCACAUCCAGCAACAUAGAUGGACUUAAUCCCAUCAAAGCCUCCAGAGGGCAGGGAAGCUCAAGUUCCAACACCCCUCCCCCACAGACUGUACUGAGAGAUUUACUGACAAAACUCCAAGGGUGAAGGUGGAACGAAAAGCCCAAAACCACAAAAAAUGAGAGGAGCAAGAGUUCAGGCAACAGCAAGGAGUAAAGAAGGGGUAAAUAUGAGCAAACAACAGGAAAAGAAAAAAGAAAUUACAACUGACAGCUUCUAUACAGGCAAUGAAAAAAGAGCAAACAGAACAAAGAAGGAUGAAGGAACUCUAAGCAAAAAACCCCAGCAAAUUGGAUACAGGCUCUGGAAGAACUCAAAAUGCAAUUCAAAACACAAUUAAAAGGGGCUGAAGACAACUGGGGAAAGAACUUAAAAACUAAGAUAAGUCAUCUGGAAACAGAGGCACUUGAACUAAAACAAGAAAAUAGUGUCUUGAAAGCCAAAAUCAACCAGCUUGAAAAUGAGGCAGAGGAGAUGAAAGAUGAGGCAAAGAAGAUGAAAGAUGACCUCCAAAGAAAAUCAGACCAGAAGGAGAAGGAUGACCAAAAAUCCAGGGAUGAAAUCCAGACUUUAAGAACCAGAAGACAACAACUAGAAACAAAUUACUUCACAAGGCAGCAGGACACUAUAAAACAAAAUCAACAGAAUGAAAAAAUUGAGGAAAAUAUGAAGCAUCUCAUUCACAAAACAGAAGAUUUAUAAAAUCGUUCCAGGAGAGACAACUUAAGAAUCAUUGGUCUACCAGGAGACCAUGACAAAAGAAAAAACCUGGACAUCAUACUACAGGAAAUUAUCCAAGAAAACUGCCUCAAUAUUCUAGAACAAGAGGGAAAAGUGGAGAUUGAAAGAAUCCACAGAUCACCUCCUGUACUUAAUUCUCAACUGACAACAACCAGGAAUGUUAUAGCCAAAUUCAAGAACUAUCAGACCAAGGAAAAAAUAUUACAAGCUGCUAAGAAGAAGUCAUUCAGAUACCAUGGAACCACAGUGAGUAUAACACAGGAUCUGGCUGUAUCUAGACUGAAGGACUGAAAGGUAUGGAAUAUGAUAUUCUGGAAAGCAAGGGAACUAGGUCUACAACCAAGAAUCAAUUACCCAGCAAAACUGACUGUAUUCUUACAGGGAAAAGUAUGGUCAUUUAACAAAAUAGAAGAAUUCCAAGCAUUUGUAAAGAAAAGACCAGACCUGAACAUAAAAUUUGAUGCCCAAGUACAGAUAUUUAUACAGAUGCCUGGUGGAGAGUAGAUAGAGUGGCCAUUCAAGAGAAUCAUCAAAAGCUAAUUAAGAAGGAGGGAAAAAAGAAAAACAAAACAAAACAACAAAAAAACCCUUUUUUAAAAAAGAGACCCAAUAAAUUAAAAUGAUAUGUAUCCUUAUAAGAAAA
This is a non-coding RNA of Monodelphis domestica (gray short-tailed opossum), 5750 nucleotides long. Lineage: Eukaryota; Metazoa; Chordata; Mammalia; Didelphimorphia; Didelphidae. The record is from RefSeq and is a predicted model, not a curated record.